Molecule: small nuclear RNA, 104 nt
Organism: Myotis daubentonii (Daubenton's bat)
Lineage: Eukaryota; Metazoa; Chordata; Mammalia; Chiroptera; Vespertilionidae
Source: RefSeq, a predicted model, not a curated record
GUGCUCGCUCCAGCAGCACAUAUACUAAAAUUGGAACGAUACAGAGAAGUGUAGCAUGGCUCCUGCGCAAUGACAUGCAAAUUCAUGAAGCAUUCCAUAUUUUA